GACGAACGCUGGCGGCGUGCCUAAUACAUGCAAGUCGAGCGGACUUUCAAGAAGCUUGCUUUUUGAAAGUUAGCGGCGGACGGGUGAGUAACACGUGGGCAACCUGCCUGCAAGACGGGGAUAACUCCGGGAAACCGGGGCUAAUACCGGAUAAUAUCUUCCUUCGCAUGAAGGAAGGUUGAAAGGCGGCGCAAGCUGCCGCUUGCAGAUGGGCCCGCGGCGCAUUAGCUAGUUGGUGAGGUAACGGCUCACCAAGGCGACGAUGCGUAGCCGACCUGAGGGGGUGAUCGGCCCCACUGGGACUGAGACACGGCCCAGACUCCUACGGGAGGCAGCAGUAGGGAAUCUUCCGCAAUGGACGAAAGUCUGACGGAGCAACGCCGCGUGAGCGAAGAAGGUCUUCGGAUCGUAAAGCUCUGUUGUCAGGGAAGAACAAGUACCGUUCGAACAGGGCGGUACCUUGACGGUACCUGACCAGAAAGCCACGGCUAACUACGUG
RNAcentral lists this ribosomal RNA (499 nucleotides) under uncultured bacterium. RNAcentral describes it as "partial 16S ribosomal RNA". It matches the Rfam family "Bacterial small subunit ribosomal RNA", at positions 28 to 507 of the family's 1533-position model. The record is from RNAcentral.